This 301-nucleotide ribosomal RNA is filed under the name uncultured bacterium. RNAcentral's name for it is "partial 16S ribosomal RNA". It matches the Rfam family "Bacterial small subunit ribosomal RNA", at positions 509 to 807 of the family's 1533-position model. The record is from RNAcentral.
CAGCAGCCGCGGUAAUACGUAGGUGGCAAGCGUUGUCCGGAAUUAUUGGGUGUAAAGGGCUCGCAGGCGGUUUCUUAAGUCUGAUGUGAAAGCCCCCGGCUCAACCGGGGAGGGUCAUUGGAAACUGGGAAACUUGAGUGCAGAAGAGGAGAGUGGAAUUCCACGUGUAGCGGUGAAAUGCGUAGAGAUGUGGAGGAACACCAGUGGCGAAGGCGACUCUCUGGUCUGUAACUGACGCUGAGGAGCGAAAGCGUGGGGAGCGAACAGGAUUAGAGACCCCCGUAGUCCCUGUCUCUUAUAC